Molecule: ribosomal RNA, 299 nt
Filed under: uncultured Synergistaceae bacterium
Lineage: Bacteria; Thermotogati; Synergistota; Synergistia; Synergistales; Synergistaceae
Description: partial 16S ribosomal RNA
Rfam family: Bacterial small subunit ribosomal RNA
Source: RNAcentral
GCAACGAGCGCAACCCCUCGCUGCCAGUUGCCAACGGGUGAAGCCGGGCACUCUGGCGGGACUGCCAUCGACAAGAUGGAGGAAGGUGGGGAGUGACGUCAAGUCAUCAUGGCCCUUACUGUCCAGGGCGGACACACGUGCUACAAUGGCCGGCACAGCGGGAAGCGAGGCAGUGAUGCCAAGCGGAUCCCUUAAAGCCGGUCUCAGUUCGGAUUGAAGUCUGCAACUCGACUUCAUGAAGCUGGAAUCGCUAGUAAUCGCAGAUCAGCCAAGCUGCGGUGAAUACGUUCCCGGGCCUU